This 497-nucleotide ribosomal RNA is filed under the name uncultured bacterium. RNAcentral's name for it is "partial 16S ribosomal RNA". It matches the Rfam family "Bacterial small subunit ribosomal RNA", at positions 28 to 507 of the family's 1533-position model. The record is from RNAcentral.
GACGAACGCUGGCGGCGUGCCUAAUACAUGCAAGUAGAACGCUGAAGAGAGGAGCUUGCUCUUCUUGGAUGAGUUGCGAACGGGUGAGUAACGCGUAGGUAACCUGCCUUGUAGCGGGGGAUAACUAUUGGAAACGAUAGCUAAUACCGCAUAACAAUGGAUGACACAUGUCAUUUAUUUGAAAGGGGCAAUUGCUCCACUACAAGAUGGACCUGCGUUGUAUUAGCUAGUAGGUGAGGUAAUGGCUCACCUAGGCGACGAUACAUAGCCGACCUGAGAGGGUGGUCGGCCACACUGGGACUGAGACACGGCCCAGACUGCUACGGGAGGCAGCAGUAGGGAAUCCUCGGCAAUGGGGGCAACCCUGACCGAGCAACGCCGCGUGAGUGAAGAAGGUUUUCGGAUCGUAAAGCUCUGUUGUAAGUCAAGAACGGGUGUGAGAGUGGAAAGUUCACACUGUGACGGUAGCUUACCAGAAAGGGACGGCUAACUACGUG